RNAcentral lists this long non-coding RNA (388 nucleotides) under Salvia miltiorrhiza (redroot sage). Its description in RNAcentral is "long non-coding RNA (SMIL_LNC013241)". Lineage: Eukaryota; Viridiplantae; Streptophyta; Magnoliopsida; Lamiales; Lamiaceae. The record is from RNAcentral.
GGAGACAGGGGCGGCGGCGCUGUGGUCUCGACCGCUGCCGUGCCUUGCUGGUCGAGACAGAGGGAGCAGGAGGCGGCGAUGGCAGCCCCGCUGCUGCUGUCGGCCAGGAGGUGAAGGAGAUGAGGGAGGCGGUGACUAGGCGGCGCUGCUGUCGACGUGGGAGCGACGAUGGCGGCCGUUGCUACCGGCCGAAGGAGAGAGGGAGGGGGCUGUAGACACGGGGGUGAGGUCGUUGGAGAGAGAGACGACGCAGAGAGGGAGAGUGAGGGCGAGAGCCGCCAGCUCCGGCGGCGGCGUUGCCGUCUGGUGGCGGGGGGCAGGGGGAGACCGAGGGAGAGAGGGAGAAGGGAAAUAGAAGGGCUGCGUGAGUUGUGAAUUUUGGUGAGCU